CCUCGCUCCCAGGCUCCUCUCGCUGGCCGCCUGUGGCCCUUUGUCGACUUCGCGUCCUCAAGCCGCCCUCCACAGGGCCAGGCGCGUGAAAGCGAGGAUGCUGCACGCGUGGACGCGCUCGGCCUGCACCCGGGGGCGGGUGGUGCCAGGUGCAGGGCGGCGGCACCCAGGACGGCAGUGAGACGCACACAGCCCUGUGCCAGUCAUCACGUUUAAUCCACACAGCACCCCUGCGAGGACCCCACAAAACCACUCGGCCCCUCUGGAAGCUGGGAGGACGAUGGCACUGUCGGGUGCCGAGAACAGGAGCUGCAGGCCAGCCACGCUUGGCAAAGGCGGCACCAGGUCUCCCUGGGAACGGACAGGAGGAGAGCAGGCAGACACAGGCGCACAUGGGCAGCCCAGGAACCCCCUCCCGGAGUGCAUGCACGGAGAGCUGAGGAAGGCGUGGAUGUCUCCCGCGCUGACCAAGGACGCGGGCUCCGGGCUUUCCUGCUUCACGCCCAGGGCUGCACACAACUGGCUGUAGCUCAGCACCUGGGGGCCCGAGGCAGGGAGUGGAGAGGAGCCCACAGGCCGAUGAGGCCCCCGACACCCAGGUGAGCGGGACAAGGCUCCUCCCUCUGGCCCCCGACACUCAGGCAGAGUGGACAGUGAGAGAGACAGAGAAAGGUCUUCCUUUGCCGUUGGUUCACCCUCCAAUGGCCACCACGGCUGGCGCGCUGCGGCUGGCGCACCGUGCUGAUCCGAAGGCAGGAGCCAGGUGCUUUCCCUGGUCUCCCAUGGGGCGCAGGGCCCAAGCACUUGGGCCAUCCUCCACUGCACUCCCUGGCCACAGCAGAGAGCUGUCCUAGAAGAGGGGCAACUGGGACAGAAUCCGGCGCCCCGACUGGGACUAGAACCCAGUGUGCCAGCGCCGCAAGGCGGAGGAUUAGCCUAUUGAGCUGCGGCGCUGGCCCCCACCCUGUCUUUAGCCUCAACUCACUGACGUGGAGGGGACAACACUUUCAGAGCCAUCCCAGCCAUAACAGGACAUGCUGGGGAAUAGUCUGGCGGUCCCCCCAACAACGGGCAGACGGCUCCCACGUGCCCAGCGUCCCCCCAGCAACGGGCAAAUGGCUCCCACGUGCCCAGCGUCCCCCCAACAACGGGCAGACGGCCUCCACGUGCCCAGUGGUCUCUCCCACUCUCGAGUGCAGUGGAUGGAUGGGUGGGUCACCGAAGGCAAUGUGGCCACACACCGGGAUGUUAUCCAGUCACAUGCCACAACACGGAUGAAGCAACGCAUGAUGGCAAGAGAAAGCAGCCAGACACAGGCCACGGACGGGGACUCCUUGGUAUGGAACGCCGGCAUAGGCAGAUCCAGCGGCAGGAAGAUUGAUUACCAAGGGCCAAGGAAGCCGGAGUGAACCAAGCCUGGGGUUUCUUUCUGGGGGGUUGGGGUGGGGGUGCAUGUGUGUAUGUAUGUGUAUGUGUGUGUGUGUGUGUGUGUGUGUGUGUGUGUGUGUGAGAGAAAAUGUACUAAAAUUCACUGGUGGUGGUUACAGGACUCUGUAUCUUAAAAGCUUACUAUUAGACACUUUUUAAAAGUACGGUUCCUGAAUAAAACCUUCCAGUUUCUCUUUGAA
This is a long non-coding RNA of Oryctolagus cuniculus (rabbit), 1628 nucleotides long. RefSeq lists it as uncharacterized. The record is from RefSeq and is a predicted model, not a curated record. NCBI's taxonomy places the organism in Eukaryota, Metazoa, Chordata, Mammalia, Lagomorpha, Leporidae.